RNAcentral lists this ribosomal RNA (446 nucleotides) under uncultured bacterium. Its description in RNAcentral is "partial 16S ribosomal RNA". It matches the Rfam family "Bacterial small subunit ribosomal RNA", at positions 338 to 795 of the family's 1533-position model. The record is from RNAcentral.
CCUACGGGAGGCAGCAGUCGAGAAUUAUUCACAAUGGGGGAAACCCUGAUGGUGCGACGCCGCGUGGGGGAAUGAAGGUCUUCGGAUUGUAAACCCCUGUCAUGUGGGAGCAAAUUAAAAAGAUAGUACCACAAGAGGAAGAGACGGCUAACUCUGUGCCAGCAGCCGCGGUAAUACAGAGGUCUCAAGCGUUGUUCGGAAUCACUGGGCGUAAAGCGUGCGUAGGCUGUUUCGUAAGUCGUGUGUGAAAGGCGCGGGCUCAACCCGCGGACGGCACAUGAUACUGCGAGACUAGAGUAAGGGAGGGGGAACCGGAAUUCUCGGUGUAGCAGUGAAAUGCGUAGAUAUCGAGAGGAACACUCGUGGCGAAGGCGGGUUCCUGGACAUUAACUGACGCUGAGGCACGAAGGCCAGGGGAGCGAAAGGGAUUAGAUACCCGAGUAGUC